RNAcentral lists this ribosomal RNA (170 nucleotides) under uncultured bacterium. RNAcentral's name for it is "partial 16S rRNA". It matches the Rfam family "Bacterial small subunit ribosomal RNA", at positions 338 to 524 of the family's 1533-position model. The record is from RNAcentral.
CCUAUGGGAGGCAGCAGUGCGGAAUAKUAUACAAUGGGCGGAAGCCUGAUCAGGCACGCCGCGUGAGGGAUGACGGCCUUCGGGUUGUAAACCUCUUUCACAGACGAAGCGGACGKGACGGUAUGWGCAAAACACGGACCGGUCCACGACGUGCCAGCAGCCGCGGUAAU